UUAAAGAAAAGAAAAGAAGAAAAGAAACGAAAUAGGGAACAAAUCAAAUUGUUUCCCCACACCCCCACACUUAAACUAUGCAUAUUGUUCAAUGUAUGCCUUAUAUAUAGAAUGCACAGAAAAANUAUGAGGGAACUUACCUCCUUCAUGGUGGAAGGAAUGCUAGUAGGACUUCAUCGGAAAAGUCAUCCUGGAUCAGAAUGUUAACUCUUCCCUUCUCAAUCCUACUAAGAUGGUCAACUACUAAAUUGUGUGCCCCACUUCUGUCUUGAAUAGGAGACAACUUGUCCUUCUCAUCCUUGACCAUUGUGAUUCCACCUUUCUUUGGGACCACAUGCAUAGGGCCCACCCAAAUGCUGUCAGAAUUGUGGUCUAUAAUACCUCUUUGUAGCAGCUUGGUAUCCCUUUUCUUUACAACCCCC
Molecule: long non-coding RNA, 422 nt
Filed under: Vigna radiata
Lineage: Eukaryota; Viridiplantae; Streptophyta; Magnoliopsida; Fabales; Fabaceae
Description: long non-coding RNA (VRAD_LNC012177)
Source: RNAcentral